CAGUACCUGCUCAGAGAAUAUACACUACCCUUGCUCUGAAUACUGGACAUAUAAACAAUACUUUGAAGAAUCCAAAACAGUAGCGAAGGCCUUUAUUAGGUUAGGCCUAGAAAGAUUCCACGGUGUCUGCAUCAUGGGUUUCAACUCUCCCGAGUGGUUGAUUGCUAACUUUGGUGCCAUAUAUGCGGGUGGUAUAGCAGCAGGUGUGUACACAACCAAUUCAGCGGAGGCUUGUAGGCACCUGGCACUCAACUGCCAAGCUCAGAUCAUUCUGGUGGAAAACCAGGAGUUACUUAACAAGUUCCUCGCAGUUAAGCGCUUCCUACCUCACA
This is a non-coding RNA of Cherax quadricarinatus, 332 nucleotides long. The record is from RefSeq and is a predicted model, not a curated record. NCBI's taxonomy places the organism in Eukaryota, Metazoa, Arthropoda, Malacostraca, Decapoda, Parastacidae.